Long non-coding RNA from Anarrhichthys ocellatus (wolf-eel), 694 nucleotides. RefSeq lists it as uncharacterized. Lineage: Eukaryota; Metazoa; Chordata; Actinopteri; Perciformes; Anarhichadidae. The record is from RefSeq and is a predicted model, not a curated record. The transcript has 3 exons.
CACUCACACACACAAACACACACACUCACUCAGACACACACACACUCAGACACACACACACACACAACAAUCCAACGAGCGGUCGAACUGUUAAAAAGAUUCUGGUAUUUUUGAGUUUGGGCUUUUACUGUGAAGGAGUGACCCGUUGCUUCCUGUUUCCUGCUUUAUCCUAGCAACACCUGGAGACAAAACAACAGCUGUUUGUCUCUGUGUUUCCAGAAGUAGAGCAUGAGAAAAUAUACGUUAAUUUAUGUAGUACCUGUACCCUCAUAUCAAGCAAAGAAGUAGAAGUGGUAGAAGUAGAAGAAGUGGUAUUGGUAGUAGAAGUAGGAGACAUGGAGGCUGGAAACAUGGCCACACAGAUUGCUGCUGAUGAAUUAGUAAAGCUGUCUGGGGGGCUCUAAGUGGACCUGAUCCACUGACCUACUUUACCGUAGACCAGCAGGGUUAAUGGAGUCUGGAGGUCUUUAAAGAGGUCUUCAGAGUCCUCGUGAGCUUCACUGACCGUGCUGUUGUCUCCUCGUCUCUCAGAUGCGUUCGUGAACAGUCAGGAGUGGACGCUCAGUCGAACGGUACCAGAGCUCAAAGUGGGCAUUGUGGGUAACCUGGCCAGCGGUAAGUCGGCGCUGGUCCACCGGUACCUGACGGGAACGUACGUCCAGGAGGAGUCACCUGAAGCUGACGUGGACGCAGG